This 63-nucleotide transfer RNA is filed under the name Dermacentor sinicus. RNAcentral describes it as "tRNA-Gly". Lineage: Eukaryota; Metazoa; Arthropoda; Arachnida; Ixodida; Ixodidae. The record is from RNAcentral.
AUUUAAUUAGUAUAAAUGAGUACAUUUAAUUUCCAAUUAAAAAGUUUUAAAUAAAAUUAAAUA